GGCAAGGGGUGCAUCGCGACGACCCCGUGAGGCGUCAGCCCAACGUUCGCGUCCAAGCUUCUCUCUCAAGGAGGGUGGACGCCAUG
RNAcentral lists this non-coding RNA (86 nucleotides) under Mesorhizobium escarrei. Its description in RNAcentral is "chrB-a". It matches the Rfam family "chrB-a RNA". The record is from RNAcentral. Lineage: Bacteria; Pseudomonadati; Pseudomonadota; Alphaproteobacteria; Hyphomicrobiales; Phyllobacteriaceae. RNAcentral also lists the same sequence under 1 other name.